This 477-nucleotide ribosomal RNA is filed under the name Busseola sp. BUOUG3778. RNAcentral describes it as "partial 16S large subunit ribosomal RNA". The record is from RNAcentral. Lineage: Eukaryota; Metazoa; Arthropoda; Insecta; Lepidoptera; Noctuidae.
UGUCUUUUUGAAGAUAAUUUAAAGUCUAAUCUGCCCACUGAUUUAAUAUUAAAGGGCUGCAGUAUUUUGACUGUACAAAGGUAGCAUAAUCAUUAGUCAUUUAAUUGAUGACUUGUAUGAAAGAUUGGAUGAAAUAUAAUCUGUCUCUUAAUUAAUAAGUAGAAUUUAAUUUUUUGAUUAAAAAGUUAAAAUGGUUUAAAAAGACGAGAAGACCCUAUAGAGUUUUAUAGAUAAAUUAAUUAAUAUUAUUUAUAAAAAUUAAAUUAAAAUUUUUUUUAUUUAUUAUAUUGGGGUGAUAGAAAAAUAUAUCUAACUUUUUUUUAUUUAAAACAUUUAUAAGUGAUUAAAUGAUCCAAUAGUAUUGAUUAUAAGAAAAAAUUACCUUAGGGAUAACAGCGUAAUUUUUUUUUUUAGUUCAUAUAAGAAAAAGAGUUUGCGACCUCGAUGUUGGAUUAAGAUAAAAUUUAAAUGUAGAAG